RNAcentral lists this long non-coding RNA (2946 nucleotides) under Androctonus crassicauda. Lineage: Eukaryota; Metazoa; Arthropoda; Arachnida; Scorpiones; Buthidae. The record is from RNAcentral.
AUAUUUAUGAUUCAUAAAUUAAUUGAUUAAAUUUAAAAUCAAUUUUUGAUUUUACAAUCAUUCCUUUCAUAACAUUUGAACGAAGGGCGCAUAUAAUUAUAGAGUGUAUAGUUAUUUAUUAUGUCAACACUCAUUUUAAGGUAGGAUAAGCGAAAAUAUACAGGAAAAUCGCACCUGGUAUAGAACAUUUUAGUGUAUAUUUUCUGUUAACAAGUCAGUUCGUCGUUAUCGAUUUUUAAAUUUAACUUCUUCGAUAUGAAUCAACCCUGGAAGAAAUAUAAUAAAAAAAAAAAGAACUUAAAUAAGAGCCUAUAGGUCGUGCAGUUUCGUUGUCAGUCUAUUUUCUAAUUCGCCUUUGAUUAUAAAGGUCUAGACGUAGAACAACGUUGACACCCAUAACAUAUGACGUAAGGUAAAAUACCACUUAAAAACAGAUAAUUGCGAAAUAAUUUGCACCUACCUACAUGUAGUGCCGAUGAAGUAAAAGUACAUAUAUAUAGCUGAAGGUCCGGUAUGUCUUGCCUAACGACUUUACCCGGUGUAGCCCAUUACCAGCAUCAGCUGCCUGAGUGUUUUUCAAUAAGUGCUCUGGGAAAGAAUGGUACAACAUUAAUGGUACUUUAGUCCAGCCGUCGCUGAGUCUCCCGACUUUCUUCAUUUACUAAGUUUUCUAUCCUUGGUUUGUUAUACGGUCAUCGACUAUACAUACCCUAGGCAAAUAAAACAAUAAUUUUUCUCAUGUAUUUUUAUUCCAACUCUGUCAAUCGCGCUACUGCCAAAGUAUGCGAAUUAUAUACUGAUAAUUUUGCAUAAUAAUUAAUAUUUAAUGUCUCGCUUCGAGAGGAAAAUUUUUUUUUUUUUUUACGCGGUCUCCGUGCUUCCAUCUAUUGAUGGGAAAACCAAACAAUAAAUUGAUAAUUAGUCUAAAAUUUGUCGUUUAUCGGACAGAAGGGUCUUUUGUUUAUUCCGGACGAUAUUCGGUAUUUACGGAAUUUUGAUUGUUUUGUCAGAACGUAAAAGUUUGAAUGCUUUUAACUUUGGAAUGAUCAGAUAAGCAAACGAGGAGACAAACAUCUGACUAUAUCAAAUUGUCUAGCUUUGUAAUUACGUAAGUAGGAUCCCUCUGACCAAUUUCCUGCUUUAGGAACAAUGGGAGCUCGACUAGAUAAGGUGAAAUACCUCACAACCAAGCGGAAACACGAUAACUAAAUGAGAGAGGAAGAUGAGAUCGUAACCGUCUCUCCCUAGAGAUUAUCAGGAUCUCAGGUACGAAAAGACAAAGGAACCGAGUAGAUAACGUAGGGCUGUAAUGGUUAACCUGUAUUUUAAAAUUUUAAAAGCGUCAAAGAAUAGUUUUUAUCCAAAUUUUUCUUUUUUUUCUUUUCUUUUUAAAUUCUUUUGAAAUCGCAUACGUGUUUCUCUAUUCAAUGCAUUUCUGGCUUGGUUCCCGAAAUUGCUGCCUGAGCAUAAAAGACGGUGGCAUAUACUUGUCAGUUCUGGCGACUUCUUCUCAUUCAUCAACUCGCCGGCGGCAAACAAUAGGAACGUCAUAUCCAGGUAAUUGGCGCAAUUUCGGCAUCACCUGGACGUUCUUAUCGCUCCCAACCCGUUGCCAUAUAUCAGCUAGCUGGUAACAAUGCGCUAGGCAAUUACGCUAGUUGAUAUAAAGUGUGAAGUACCGUGAUUAAUAAUCCAUCAACGAGUUACCAGGUGCUACCAUUAGUCAGUAAUCGCCCGACUAUUCAUCCGAUGCGCCUUUUUUUUUUUUAUUUUCCAGCAUCAAAUUUGCCCUGGGGCUUAAAGCUGGAUAGGUUGCGCCGUGCAGAUUUAGUUAUUUUGGUCAUUUAGUUCGAUAAAGUGGGCAUAUUCAUGAACGAGCUUUAUGCUAAAAUGUCAACUGGGGCAUAGCUUAACGUCAAAAUGUAGAUAGUUGGCCGUUUAAGUCCGAUCUAUUGACCUAACCACGAUGAAGUCGAAAUGUAUGUCGGACAGAUGUGUGUUUCCGGCCCGGUUAGCCUGUGUGACAUACACGGCUAUUGGAGCAACUUCGGUCCCUUCCUACGUCAUUUAUUUCCGCUCUUCGCUGUCAGGACAGAUAGCACAGACAACUGCACACUACAGACAUAACUUUCGAUGCUACCAGCAGGAAAAGACUUUUCUAUUCUGUGUCUUCGAUAAGAAUGCAAUCGGAUUAAGCUUCACCUAGUCGGAAGAAGAAGGGAAAAAAAUUCGAUUUUAAUGCGCAACUUAUAAUAAUAUUUGGAUUUAAAGAAUAAGAAGGGAAAAAAAAAUGUUUGGUGCAAUGAAAAAGGAAAUUAUCCUAUAGAACUGUUAAAUCCGAUGUACUGUAAAGAUUUGGUGCGGAAGCCAACCGUCUUCUUUUAUCUGUGCGGAUUAUACUCGAUGUAUGUCUAUCGGCAAUAAAGACUCGACACUGUAAGCAGAACGCUCUUCCAAGAAUUUAGUUUCUGUAAUCGGGUUUCAACAUAAUCCAUUGGGACAAUCGAAUUCCCAGCAAGCUGUUGAAACGACAUUGUCUCUUCUUUUCUAGCUCCGGAUUCCUAUCUCCAUCCGUCACAAAGGUUUCCGGAGAAAAUUGGGCUACCUGAGUCAACUUCCAUAAAAGGUAGACGAGUUUCCAACAGGACCGAGUUGGCGAUUUCCGGCUUAGAACUCUCAUAUCCAAUAGAUAAAUAUUUCAUUCCAUUAGUGAAACGUUCCAAUCCUUCUUGUAUACAGAGCACAUCUGUAGAAGUAACUGGAGAUAUGCUCGACACAAGUUGCUAAACACGCGAGUCUUACAGCCAAUUCGCAUUUGAUUACCUCCUCUUAUCAUAUUUACUCAUCUUUAGGGAGUAACUGCGAUAUUUGAACAGUUUGCGAAAUGAUUUUUUUUCAUCUCCUAUAACUUAUAUAUAAAGUAGGGCAUAUUAAAUUCGUUGCUGC